Molecule: long non-coding RNA, 777 nt
Organism: Drosophila miranda
Lineage: Eukaryota; Metazoa; Arthropoda; Insecta; Diptera; Drosophilidae
Exons: 5
Source: RefSeq, a predicted model, not a curated record
GGACUGUGCUUUGACGUUGAGCUUGUCGUGACGCUAAAGAAGAUAAUUCUCUCUGAGAUCACAGUGUGACCGCGAAUUAAUUGAUAAAUUGCGCUCGUGGAAUGAAAGAGACAAGAAUUUACACAAACAAAAUGCAUUUGUUUUCCUCGUUUGCUUUAUGCGUUGAUUUUGUUCACUUCUGUACAAGAUCUAAUCGCUGGAAGAGUCUUUUGUGUGAACAUUUGUUAAAAAAGUGAGAAAAGAAAUGAAUAAAUUAUAACUAUAACAAGAAAUGAAUAAAUUAACAAAAUAAAUCAAAUUAAUAUAAACAGAUCAAUUGAAAGCAGUGGUCCAAAUUUUAGCGGAUCAAACUGUUUUAAUAAAGCAGCUGGUAAGGGGGAAUUGAAUCCCAUUCGGGGACAGUUCCCAAUAAAACGUGAGGAAGAGCUUAUAGAACUGGAAGAAAAAAAUUAAAUUAAAUAGGGACAUUUAUAUAACCGAAAUGAAAUCAAUUCUCCAGCCAGCUGGCGUUUUGAGCGGCUUGAACUUUAUUUUGAGUGAGGACAUUGUUCUGGCAUAUAACGUCGAUGGGGUCCAAGGGAAGAAGGCCCUUAGGACCCACAAAGAAUUUUUUGCAGCUUUGCUAGAAUGUAUUCCGCCUGGCGAUGAGCCCCCCGAAAACACUGUACGGAAGGCAAUGCAAAGGAUGAAGAAAAGGGUGUUUAAAAAGAAGUGUCUUGCCAAAAACCAGGAGUAGGCUAAGCAUCAUAUAAUUAAAAAUUAUUCGUUAUAUUGAAA